GAUGAACGCUGGCGGCGUGCCUAAUACAUGCAAGUCGAGCGAACAGACGAUGAGCUCUCUCCUCUGACGUUAGCGGCUGACGGGUGAGUAACACGUGGAUAACCUUCUUCUAAGACUGGGAUAACUACGUGAAACCGCAGAUAAUACCGGAUAAUAUAAUGAACCGCAUGGAUCAAUAGUGAAAGACGGUUUUGCUGUCACUUUUAGACGGAUCCGCGCCGCAUUAGCUAGUUGGUAAGGUAACGGCUUACCAAGGCAACGAUGCGUAGCUGACCUGAGAGGGUGAUCAGCCACACUGGAACUGAGACACGGUCCAGACUCCUACGGGAGGCAGCAGUGGGGAAUCUUGCACAAUGGGCGAAAGCCUGACGGAGCCACACCGCGUGAGUGAUGAAGGUCUUCGGGUCGUAAAGCUCUGUUAUUAGGGAAGAACAAAAGUGUAAGUAACUAUGCACGUCUUGACGGUACCUAAUCAGAAAGCCACGGCUAACUACGUG
This 497-nucleotide ribosomal RNA is filed under the name uncultured bacterium. RNAcentral describes it as "partial 16S ribosomal RNA". It matches the Rfam family "Bacterial small subunit ribosomal RNA", at positions 28 to 507 of the family's 1533-position model. The record is from RNAcentral.